This 104-nucleotide non-coding RNA is filed under the name Clostridium amazonitimonense. Its description in RNAcentral is "SAM riboswitch (S box leader)". It matches the Rfam family "SAM riboswitch aptamer (S box leader)". Rfam says of the family: The SAM riboswitch is found upstream of a number of genes which code for proteins involved in methionine or cysteine biosynthesis in Gram-positive bacteria. The SAM riboswitch acts at the level of transcription termination control. The predicted structure consists of a complex stem-loop region followed by a single stem loop terminator region. Lineage: Bacteria; Bacillati; Bacillota; Clostridia; Eubacteriales; Clostridiaceae. The record is from RNAcentral.
UCUUAUCAAGAGAGGUGGAGGGAAAGGCCCUAUGAAACCCAGCAACCAGUAUGCAUUAUUUGCAUAUAUGGUGCUAAAUCCUACAACAAGUGUUGAAAGAUAAG